UACAGGGGUCUCAAGCGUUGUUCGGAUUCAUUGGGCGUAAAGGGGGUGUAGGUGGCGCCGUAAGUCGGGUGUGAAAUUUCGGAGCUUAACUCCGAAACUGCAUUCGAUACUGCGGUGCUUGAGGACUGGAGAGGAGACUGGAAUUCAUGGUGUAGCAGUGAAAUGCGUAGAGAUCAUGAGGAAGACCAGUGGCGAAGGCGGGUCUCUGGACAGUUCCUGACACUGAGACACGAAGGCCAGGGGAGCAAACGGG
RNAcentral lists this ribosomal RNA (253 nucleotides) under uncultured bacterium. RNAcentral's name for it is "partial 16S ribosomal RNA". It matches the Rfam family "Bacterial small subunit ribosomal RNA", at positions 524 to 776 of the family's 1533-position model. The record is from RNAcentral.